This 303-nucleotide long non-coding RNA is filed under the name Panax ginseng (ginseng). RNAcentral describes it as "long non-coding RNA (PGIN_LNC019097)". Lineage: Eukaryota; Viridiplantae; Streptophyta; Magnoliopsida; Apiales; Araliaceae. The record is from RNAcentral.
UACAACAUGCACAAAGUGCGAAUCAAUAAUCAUAGAUGUGGAAUAAUUGUCAAGAAUUAAUCCACUAGCAUGCUUGAAACAUAAUAACUCGAGUUUGAGUUAGGAAACUUGCAAUAAAUGAGAAUAUUCAAUAAUAACCAUAGAUUUGGAAUAAUCAUCAAUAAUUAUCCACUAACAUGCCUGAAAAAUAACAACUUGAGUUUGAGUUAGAGAAUUUGCCUUGACCUUCGAUUACCGCUAAGCAGUCUAAUUUAAUCUCUUAUGAAAGACCUAUCAUUUAUAAGAUCGAUCUUUUAAUCAGCG